UACAGUUUGCCGAAAUAAAAUCCAACAUAGCCCGAUACCGGGGUGUCACCAGUCAUGAGCAUCUAUCAAUACACUACAAGUCUGAAAUGUCUACCAAGCUAUUACAAAAUAACUAAAAAAUAGAUAGAAUGAGAUAAAGGGGGAGAGGCACGGGGCUGCGAACGCCGAGCAGAUACCUCAUGGACUCCGAAAUCUGCCAGGAGCUCUCAACCCUCACUACCAGGAUCAGCAAUGCCUGAAUCUGCAUACGGGGUGCAGGGAGUAAAGUAAGUACUCCAACUCAGUGAGUAAUAAUCAUAAAUAAAGACUGAGAGCACGAAAUCACGUAAGACACAUUAUAGGUUAUAAGGAAGCAGUAAAAACCAAUAAAAUAGUGAAGCAGUAAUAAUGUGUAAAGUCAUUUUAGUCCAAUUCAAACUUCAUGAAAUGCCUUUUUAACAAUUUAAACAGGUAAAUGAUAGACACAUAAGAAAGAUAAACAUAUAAAGGAUUUCCCCUCGGGCACAAUGUCAACAAAUCCGUCCCUCGAGCAAUAUCUCAAAAACAAUAUCAUCCCCUCGUGCUAAAUCUCACAUCACAAUAGGUACCCGUGCUCACUGGGGGUGAGCAGACUCUUGGAGGGUCCCCUUACGGCCCAAGCACAAUAUCAAGCCAUCUCAUGGCAUCAUCACUAGGCUCCCGGCCUCAUAUCAACAAGCCACCUUGUGGCAUACAAAUCUCAGGCCCUCGGCCUCAUACUCAUAAACAGGUAUUUCCUCACAACAUAGGCCCUCGGCCUUACUAAGUCAAAAUCCUCACCAGCCACUCACGCAAUAGUAAAACAUAGUGCUCAACCCAAAAUAUCAUUUAAAAUAUCAUUCAAGAGUUAAAGCAGAGUAAACAUUGCUGAGUUAUGAAAAACAGUAGAAUAUAACAUGACUGAGUUCAAGUAUAAAGUCAAAACAAUGAGGAAAUAUUAAUAAAAAUCCCCUAAGGGAUCAAAUAGUUGGCACGAGGCCCAAAUAUGUCAUUCAGCCCAAAACAAGAUGAUAGCAGAUAGAUUUCAGUCAAAUACACGGUAAAAUAGUCAUUCGGGACGGACUAAGUCUCAAUCCCCAACAGUGCACGACUUCACGCUCGUCAUCUAGUGUGUGUAUCACCUCAAUAUAGCACAACGAUGUGCAAAUCCGAGACUUCAUACCCUCAAGACAUCAUUUACAAUCAUUACUCACCUCGAUCUGGUCCCAACUCUAGCCCGCGAUGCCUUUUCCCUCAUAAAUCAACCUCUGGAUGCUCCAAAUCUAGCCACAAUCAGUACAUAAUCAUUAAAAUAUGCUAAGGGAACAAAGCCCACUCGAAAAUAUCUCAUUUACAUCAAAAAUCCAGAAAUUGCUCUAACCCGGCCCCUGAGCCCACAUCACGGAAUCCGACAAAAUUAACAUCAAUAGAAUCCUCAUGAUCCCACGAGUCUAUACAUAUCAAGAACAUCAAAAUCGGACUUCAAAUGUCCCCUCAAAUCCCCACUCAAAGGUCUCUGAAAUCUCAAGCCCUAAUUACCCAUUUUUGCUACUGAUUUUCCACGUCCGAAUGAUCUAAAAUUUUGCACACACGUCACAAAUGACACCACGGACCUACUCCAACUUCCGUAAUUCCAUUCCGACCCCUAUAUUAAAAUCUCACCUAUCAACCGGAGAACGCCAAAAUCCCAAUUUUGCCAAUUCAAGCCUAAACCUUCUACGGACCACCAAAAUGCAUUUCGAUCACGUUCCUAAUUCCCAAAUCACCUAACGGAGCUAACCAAAUCAUAAAAUUUCCAAUCUGAGAUCAUAUACUAACAAGUCAAAUCUUGGUCAAACCUUUCAAAUUUUAAACUUCAAACCGAGACAGUUUCUUCAAAAUUCAUUCCGGUUAUCCUGAAAACUAAAACCAACAAUUUACGUAAGUCAUACAUCACACAAGGCUAGUCAUGCCUGAGAACUGACGAGCAAAGUGCAAAAACUCAAAAACGACCGGUCGGGGCGUUACACCCGAGGCCCGCGGAACCUCAACCAAACAUGCCAACCAAUCCUAAAACAUCAUUCAAACUUGUUCCAAAUCUUCGGAAAGCUCAAAAUAACAUCAAACACCAAUUUUACAUCAGAUUCAAGCCUAAGAAUUCCAAAAACUCUCAAAUUACGCUUUCGAUCAAAAAGUCUAUCAAACCUCGUCCGAAUGACCUGAAAUUUUGCACACACGUCACAUUCAACACUACGGAGCUACUCCUACUUCCUGAAUUCCAUUCCAACCCCGAUAUCAAAAUCUCACUAUUGAACUGAAAACUUCAAAAUUUCAACUUUCGGCAUUUCAAACCUAAAUUAGUGACGGACCUCCAAAGCACAAUUCGAACAGGCCCCUAAGCCUGGAAUCACCAAACGGAGCUAACGGAACUGACGGAAUUCCAUUCCGAGGUCGUUUUGACACUACUCCGACUACGGUCCAAUUUCUAAAACUUAAGCUCUCAUUUAGGGACUAAGUGUCCCAAAACUCUCCGAAACUCAAAGUCAAGCAUCCCGACAAAUCAAAAUAGCAGAAACAAACAUGGGGAAAGUAGUUAAUAGGGGAUCGGGGCAUAAAUUCUUAAAAUGACCGGCCGGGUCAUUACAUCUAUAUAUAUAUAUACACACACACACAGAUCCAUUUCAUUGUAAUAUUUUAACUACAUAUAUAGCAUGUUAUAGUAUAUGUUAUUGUAUUCAUUAGUUGUAUUCUAACAGAGUUAAUGGAUUACAUUCAUUCAUCACUAAUAAUGCAUGACAUAGAUUAAUCAAUAUAGGCCGAGACAUUUUGUUUUUACUAUUAAUAGAUAUAGGUCAGACGUUUUGUUUUUAAUAUUCAACGAUGCAUCUGAGUAAGUUAUAAGCCGAUGAAUCAAUUUCCAAACAGAUAUAUUUGAUGAUAAAUUAUAUAUACUAAUUAGGAUCUUCACAAGUCUAUUAACCAGAACUCACACUUAGAAAACUUAGCAUACAAUUUAUUAUCACGGAGGAUUUGGAGUACCGCUCGCAGGUGAUCCACAUGCUCACCCUCUGAACAUGAAUAAACUAGAAUAUCAUCAAUAAAGACUAUCACGAAUAGAUCCAAAUAUGGUUGGAAUAAGCUAUUCAUCAAGUCCAUAAAUAUGGCAGGUGCAUUCGUCAACCCGAAAGACAUGACAAGGAACUCGAAUUGGCGAUGACGGGUCCUGAAGGUUGUCUUGGGAAUAUCUUUCUCUCGAACUCUGACCUAGUGGUACCCUGACCUCAAAUAUAUUUUUGAAAAGCAUCUAGCUCCCUACAACUGAUCAAACAAGUCGUCUAUCCUUGGAAGUGGAUAUUUAUUCUUAAUAUUUACCUUGUUCAGUUGCCUAUAAUCGAUACACAUCCUCAGCGAGCCGUCUUUCUUCCGUACAAAAAGUACCGGUGCACCCCACGAUGAGGUACUGGGUUUGAUGAAACCUUUCUCCAGUAAAUGUUUUAACUGCUCUUUCAACUCCUUCAAUUCGACAGGUGCCAAUCUAUACGGAGGGAUAGAUAUUGGUUGCGUUCCCGGAAGCAAAUCGAUGCCAAAAUCAAUCUCUUGCUCUGGAGGAAUACCUAGAAGUUCAUCUGGAAAUACAUCUGCAUACUCCUUUACUACUGGAAUAGACUGAAGUGUAGCUAUCUCAGCAUCUGCAUCUUUAACUCGCACAAUAUGAUAAAUAUACCCUUUUGCGAUCAUUUUCCUCGCCUUCAAAUAGGAAAUAAACCUGCCUCUGGGUGUCGCUGUAUUACCUACCCAUUCAAGGACUGGCUCACCCAGAAAAUGAAAUCUAGCUGUCUUUGCUCGACAACCAACUGUGGCAUAACAAGCUGCCAACCAGUCCAUGUCCAUGAUAGCAUCGAAAUCCAACAUCUCUAGUUCAACCAGGUCGGCUGAGGUCUGACGACCACAAACUGCUACCGUACAACCUCGGUAAAUGCAUCUAGCGAUAAUCAAUUCUCCGACUGAUGUAGAUACCGCAAAAGGAUCAUUAAGUAUUUUAGGCACUAUACCAAAUUUCCUCGCGACAAUUGGGGUAAUAUAUGAUAAAGUAGAUCCUGGGUCUAUCAAGGCAUAAACAUCGUGAGAACAAAUGAUCAACAUACCUGUCACAACGUCUAGUGAGGACUCUUGGUCAUGUCGACCUACUAGCGCAUAGCUAUGAUUCUGGUUACCACCUGAACUGGACCAUCUACCUCUACCUCAACCUCUACCAGCUGAAGACUGAGACUCGCGCCCUGAAGGAUGCACGGACAUAACUGAUCCUAUUGUUGAAUUUGCUGGUUGCACCAUACCCCCAGAAUCUCUAUUUGGGCAAUCUCGCAUCAUAUGCAGUGAACUUCCACAUGUAUAACAAGCAUCACAACCGGCUCGGCAUUGGCCCAAGUGUCCUCGACCACAGAUGGCACAACACGGCAAAAAUGGCCAUGUCUGCCCCGAACCUUGUUGUCUCUGCAAUCUUGACACCUAGGAGCUCUUACCUGGUCCUGACUGAGUAUAACGGUCAUACCUGUAACCCUGUAGCUGAGGUGGCGGAGGUCUAGGUGGUCGUUCGAAGUACUGGGGCUUGUAACUACCUUGAGACUGCUCUUGAGACUUGGCAAAUCUCAUCUUCUUACGCUGCCCUAACUCAGCCCUCUCCGUACUCUGCUGCCGAUGUCUACCCCUCUCUAUAUUCUGGGCAAAUGCCUGAAUCUGGGAGAUAUCCAUACAAUCCUUUAAUGCAGCGGUGGUACAUGACUCGGACAACUCUGGGGCCAAUUUUGCUAUAAACCUGUGGAUCCUCUCCCGCAUAGUAGCAACUAUGGAUGGUGCAUAUAUGGCCAAUGAGUCAAAACGGAGACUAUACUCUCGAACACUCAUAUUGUCCUGCUUGAGAGCUAGAAACUGAUCGAGUCAGACUUGUCGGAUCUCUCGCGGUAAGUACUGGUCAAUGAAGGCAUCUGAAAAAUUCUCCCAAAUAGCAGGAGGUGCAUCAUAUCCCUAUCCCUCGUACCAAAGGAUGGCUAUAUCUCAGAAUCGAAAAGCUGCUAACUCAACUGCCUCUUUUUCUGUGGCAUGCAUAACCCGAAAGAUCCUAUAAAGCUGAUCAAUGAAAUCCUGCGGGUCCUCCCUCUAAUCUGUCACCAUGAACUCUAGGGAAUUCAAAGCAUUAAACUCUCGGACCCUUGAACUCCCAGAUCCCUCAGAAGGUCCUGCACUAGUGGAUGCCCUAGCAUGUUGCUGGGUAGCUACCAACUGUACCAACAAAUGCAUUGCACUUCUCAAGUACUGAUAUGAUGGAAGCGGAGGGGGAACUGGAUGUGCGGUCUCCCUAGGAAUCUCCUCAGGUGGCGGAGGAGCCGGUAAUCGCUGGGUAGGGGUCUCUCUUACGACUCCGAUUGGGCCCCAUCUGCUGGGGUACCCUGCUAGUCCCCUCACCUACUACUGUUUGUCUCCUAUGGCUAGCCGUAGUCUUCCUAGUUACCGUCAUCUGUGCAUGCAAAUGUCAACACGUAAGUUUUACUCAAAUUUUCUAUAACUCAUUGCUAUUACAGCACGAUUUAGAUUUGAAAGAAGGUUAACCAGCUCUUAAGUGCCCUGUAGUCCCCUGCUUAUAUAAUGUGGUGCACCAUACAUUUAUAAAUAAGACCCUAUUAGACACGGCUUGUAGACUUCCUAGGACAUAACUACUCUGAUACCACUUUUAUCACACUCCAAGCCUAGGGGCGACACCGGCACUCAGUGUCUCACCUAUCCUUGCGUAUCACUUUAGACUAAGAGUCUCUGAACAUGUAAUGUCAUACUUUGGCCAUGGGCCACAUUACAAGAUAAUGUGCGAUGCAAAAUAUAAAAACUGAAUAGAGACUAAUGCUGACUAAAUGUCAACAUAAGGCUGGGCCGGCAAGGCUGUCAUAAUUACUACAAUUGACAAGCCAACAAAAUAUACAUACAUGGCCUACAGGCCCAACAUACUGCACUAACUGACAGGAUAUGUCUACAAGCCUCUACUGAUAAAUGUACUGUGAUCGGAACAGGGCCCCUACCUACCCAUAUCAUAUCUACAUAUAUACACAAGAUGCACACCAAAACUUCUAGACCCGGCAACUCAGAAGGACGCGGAGCUUACCGAUAAAGCUGAACUCGGGCAAACACCUACUGGGGAGGUCUACCCGUCUGUUUGUCUGAACCUGUACGCAUGAAAUGCAGCGCCCCCAGAAAGAGACGUUAGUACAAAAUAAUGUACCGAGUAUGUAAGGCAAUAUACUGUAGCUGAAACUGAACUAAUAAUAAUAACUGAAAGCAACUAGGGGUCAAAGAUAAUAUGAGGAUAUGCUCAUGAGCUGACACUGACUCAACUCUCUCAAUAUAGUGAGUAAAAUUGUUGUCCGGCCCUAUAAGGCUCGGUAUAUAUAUAUCUGCUCUGCCGUAGUAGGAGCUCGGCUGUACUAGGCUCUGUAUCUUGACCAACUGGGCUCGCUCAUAGGCGCUCGGCUACAGCAGGCCUGGUAUAUAACUUACCAUUUGAUAAGAGGUUGCCCAAUAGGGGUCUGCCCAUCGAUUAUAGCUCGAUGGUAGUGAGAAUACAUUAAUACUGUAUAUAUAAAUUCUCUGCUCUCUUGACUGAAAAAAAGAAACACUCAAUUGAAUAUGUAGACCCGAUGCAUCCCGAUGCUGUAAAAAAAUUAAUGCGUCCCGAUGCUGUAAAAAAAUUAAUUCAUUGGGGAUAAUAGCAUUUUACUUGUAUACAAAAUGUAAGGAUAACUGCAGAGUGCAGGUCAUUUAUUUAUUCUUGAAUAGAGAUACAGAUAAAUUGUUAGGUAUGAAUUAUCACCAUUUGUAUGAUAAUGUCUAGUUUUCUGGUUACUUUAAGCAUGUUUUGGUUCUGUCAAAAGAAUGACAUUUAUUAAUAGUCCUUUCACUUAAUCAUACGCAACGUGCCAUUGAAACUUAGGAAAUAAUUGAAUCAUACAUAUGUUUCAAACGUGCAAAAGUUAUGGACCAAUUCAGAUAACAAACACUUUUAACUACAUUCAAGAAACUUGCGAGACUAGCAAAAUAUACAUAAAUUUCGUAAUAUGAAUUUUUCUUUAUGCUUCGUUAUCAACUCGUGUAACUUCGAGAUCAUGCCAAAAUAAAAGAAGGACUUAACCUUAACAUAUCCGGAGUAGGAAAAAUCCAUAUGAUAUCCUUGGAAAAAGUUACACCGUACUUCGUUAGAACCGCAAAAAUCGGAUUGAGCUUCUGCUUCUUCAAAUUUCUUGAACGCAACGUCAAGCUUCGUGCUUGUUGAGAUACUGAGCAAAUUUCUUAGAUCUGUUCUUUGAAAUUUUCAAAUCAAGAAAGAAUUGCAUUCUUGCUUUUUCUGAAUCACUACGUUACUUGUUCUCAUUUCC
Molecule: long non-coding RNA, 7391 nt
Filed under: Nicotiana tabacum (common tobacco)
Lineage: Eukaryota; Viridiplantae; Streptophyta; Magnoliopsida; Solanales; Solanaceae
Description: long non-coding RNA (NTAB_LNC014796)
Source: RNAcentral